Molecule: long non-coding RNA, 1515 nt
Organism: Bos taurus (domestic cattle)
Lineage: Eukaryota; Metazoa; Chordata; Mammalia; Artiodactyla; Bovidae
Source: Ensembl
ACUAAAGACUCCACCAAAAAGCUAUUAGAAUAAAUGAAUUUAGUAUACUUGUAGUGUAAGAAAUCAACAUAUAAAAGUCUGUUGUGCUUCUACACAUUAAUAAAGAACUGUCAGAGAAAUUAAGGAAAUCCCAUUUAUAAUUGCACCAAGAGGAAUAAAAUACUUCAGGAUAAAUAUAACCAAGGAGGUGAAACACCUGUUAAAACUAAAAUACUGAUGAAAGAAAUUGAAGAAGAUACAAGUGAAAAAAUAUUUUGUGCACAUGAAUUGGAAGAAUUAUUGUUAAAAUAUUCACAUUACUCAAAGUAUCUACAGAUUCAACGCAAUCCCUAUCAAAAUUUCCAUGGCAUUUUUCACAAAAAUAGAACAAACCUAAAAUUUCAAUGGAACCACAAAGAACUCAAAUAGCUAAAGCCAUAUUGAGCUGGUGGCACCACACUUCUGAUUUUAAAGCUAUAGUCAUCAAAAGUAGAUACACAGGUCAACGGAACAGAAUAGAAACCUACACAUAUAUGGCAAUUAAUUUAUGACAAAGGAACCAAGAUCAUACAAUAAGACGUGUUGGGGAAACUGGACAGCAUAUGCAUGAGAAUGAAAUGACUACUGUCUUAUAUAAAAAAUGACAAUGGAUUAGAUUUAAAUGAAAUAUGUGAAACUAUAAAAUUGGAAGGGGGGAAGGUGGUAGGUAGUCUUAGAUUUGUCACCAGGAGCAAGGGUCGUGGAAGCAAAAACAAAGAAGUGGGACUACAUCAAACUAAAAAGCUUCUGCACAGAAAAAUAAACCAACAAAAUCAAAAGGCAACCUACUAAAUUAGAGAAGAUAUUUUCAACUUAUAUAUCUGAUAAGGGAAUAAUAGCCAAAACGUAUAAAGAACAAAUGUAUAAGAACAUACAACUCAGUAGCAACACAAAGACACAAACUGAUUAAAAAAUAGGCAGAGCACCUGAACAGACACUUUUUCAAAAAAUACUUAACAGAUGGCCAUGAACAGGUCUCAACACUAUUAAUCAUCAGUGAAAUGCAAAUCAAGAUCAUAAUGAGACAUCACCCUAUACCUGUUAGAAUGGCUAUUAUCAAAUAAACAUUUUGGCAAGAGUGUGGAGAUGGAGCCCUUGUGAGCUGUUGGCAUGAGUGAAACUGGUGCAGCCACUAUGCAAAAUAGGAUGGAAGUUCCUCAAAACACUUUAAAAGUUACCAUAUGAUCCAGUAAUUCUGCUUCUGGGUAUUUACCUGAAGAAAAUGAAAAUACGCAGCAUUAUUUCCAGUAGUGAAAGUAAGGAAAUAAACUAAGUGUCCACUGACGGAUAAAGAAACUGUGAUACACACACAUACACACACACACACACACACACACAGAGUGGACUAUUCAGUCAUAAAAAGAAGGAAAUUUGCCAUUUGCAACAAUAUGGAUAAACCAUGAGGGCAUUAUGUUAAGUGAAAUAAGUCAGAUGGGGAAGGCAUAUACUGUUAUAUGUAAUUUAGAAAAACCUAAAAAAAACCUGAGCUCAGAGAAC